Molecule: ribosomal RNA, 254 nt
Filed under: uncultured bacterium
Lineage: Bacteria
Description: partial 16S ribosomal RNA
Rfam family: Bacterial small subunit ribosomal RNA
Source: RNAcentral
UACGUAGGGGGCGAGCGUUGUCCGAAGUUACUGGGCGUAAAGCGCGCGUAGGCGGUUUCUUAAGUCUGGGGUGAAAGGUUCAGCGCUCAACGCGAACAGUGCCUUGGAUACUGGGAGACUUGAGUCUGGGAGGGGGCAGUGGAAUUCCUGGUGUAGCGGUGAAAUGCGCAGAUAUCAGGAGGAACACCGGUGGCGAAGGCGGGUCUCUGGGCCGAUACUGACGCUGAGGAGCGAAAGCGUGGGGAGCGAACAGG